This 505-nucleotide long non-coding RNA is filed under the name Nicotiana tabacum (common tobacco). RNAcentral describes it as "long non-coding RNA (NTAB_LNC005896)". The record is from RNAcentral. Lineage: Eukaryota; Viridiplantae; Streptophyta; Magnoliopsida; Solanales; Solanaceae.
AGAAACUUUCAUACAUUGAAGCUAUAUCUGAGUGGCAUGGCAGAUUCUUGACAGAUGAUCAUCUAUAUUUGAAUCUGCCAUCCUACUCAGAUCUGAUUUCAAUCUAUGAUUAUUGCCUAUUGAUCCAUUACAGGUAUGUUUUUAUGUUCUUUCUUCAAUAAUUGUUUUCAAAAAUAUUAGGAUGGUGCAAAUCUUGGCUAAAACAGCGCAAACCUUGAUCAUGAUGUUCAUAAGUUUAAGAUUUCGCAAAAUAAUUUGUUUAUGAUGUUCAUAACAAAUACCGACAUCAAUUCUUGGUCUAAUUACCGUAGAAAUAAGGGCCAUCAUUACGAGUUAAAGAAUCUAAGUUUCAUACUUUUUCUUCAAUAACUGGCACAAUGAAAAGUGAAUAACUUUGAAGAGCUCUCAUUGAUUAGAGUUCGGAAGGGAGCAGCUAUGCCGGACCUCUCCUUGGGAUCCAGUAAGAACACCAAAAUCUGAUAAUUUGGCCAUGGCAUGAGCAAAC